CCUACGGGCGGCAGCAGUGGGGAAUAUUGCACAAUGGGCGCAAGCCUGAUGCAGCCAUGCCGCGUGUGUGAAGAAGGCCUUCGGGUUGUAAAGCACUUUCAGCGGGGAGGAAGGCGUUAAGGUUAAUAACCUUGUCGAUUGACGUUACCCGCAGAAGAAGCACCGGCUAACUCCGUGCCAGCAGCCGCGGUAAUACGGAGGGUGCAAGCGUUAAUCGGAAUUACUGGGCGUAAAGCGCACGCAGGCGGUCUGUCAAGUCGGAUGUGAAAUCCCCGGGCUCAACCUGGGAACUGCAUUCGAAACUGGCAGGCUAGAGUCUUGUAGAGGGGGGUAGAAUUCCAGGUGUAGCGGUGAAAUGCGUAGAGAGCUGGAGGAAUACCGGUGGCGAAGGCGGCCCCCUGGGCAAAGACUGACGCUCAGGUGCGAAAGCGUGGGGAGCAAACAGGAUUAGAUACCCCUGUAGUC
Molecule: ribosomal RNA, 465 nt
Filed under: uncultured Klebsiella sp.
Lineage: Bacteria; Pseudomonadati; Pseudomonadota; Gammaproteobacteria; Enterobacterales; Enterobacteriaceae
Description: bacterial SSU rRNA
Rfam family: Bacterial small subunit ribosomal RNA
Source: RNAcentral